Molecule: transfer RNA, 71 nt
Filed under: Toxocara canis (dog roundworm)
Lineage: Eukaryota; Metazoa; Nematoda; Chromadorea; Rhabditida; Toxocaridae
Rfam family: tRNA
About the family: Transfer RNA (tRNA) molecules are approximately 80 nucleotides in length.
Source: Rfam by way of RNAcentral
GCCGCAAUAGCUCAGCGGUACAGCCCCCGCUUCGCAUGCGGGGAUACCGGGUUCGAUUCUCGGUUGCUUCC